This 389-nucleotide ribosomal RNA is filed under the name Atrina pectinata. RNAcentral's name for it is "partial 16S ribosomal RNA". It matches the Rfam family "Bacterial large subunit ribosomal RNA", at positions 1911 to 2528 of the family's 2925-position model. Lineage: Eukaryota; Metazoa; Mollusca; Bivalvia; Pterioida; Pinnidae. The record is from RNAcentral.
UGCCCUUUUGUGGUAAACAGCCGCUGUAUUUUGACGGUGCUAAGGUAGCGAAAUUCCUAGCCUUUUAAUUGGAGGCCUGCAUGAAUGGCUUGACGAGCGCCUGACUGUCUCUCUCCCGCAUGUAGUGAAAUUAACUUUUGUGUGCAAAGGCACAGAUAAUUGAGUAAGACGAAAAGACCCUGUGCAACUUUACUAAGAAAAGAGGGGUUACCUACUUGUAGUUUAGCUGGGGCAGCUUAGGAAAAGAUAAAACUUCCUUGAAUUUAAGAUACUGGUAGGUUUGGAUCCGACGUAAUUAUUGUGUAGGUCGAGUAGCAGAAAAGUUACGCCAGGGAUAACAGCGUUAUCCUUCUGUGGAGGUCUUAUCUGCAGGGGGGAUUGCGACCUCG